This 119-nucleotide ribosomal RNA is filed under the name Scophthalmus maximus (turbot). Lineage: Eukaryota; Metazoa; Chordata; Actinopteri; Pleuronectiformes; Scophthalmidae. The record is from RNAcentral.
GCUUACGGCCACACCGCCUGGUUCACGCCCGAUCUCGUUUGAUCUCGGAAACUGAGAUAGGUUGGGCCUGGUUAGUACUUGGAUGGGAGACUGCCAGGGAAUACCAGGUGCUGUAAGAU